GGAAAUGGAAAGGUGUACGGGGACAUUUGGGAGAUGGGAUCUGUACUGGAUCAGCUAUGUACAACAUUUUAGUUAGCACUUAAGUCUGUAGAAAAAUGUGAACUAGUGUAUAUACCGAGUUGAAGCUCGGAAUGCCAAAAGUACAUUUGGUACUACCUGGAUCGUUUUGGCCAUCUAGGUUGUUUGCAAUACUGAACUGAAGCUCACGACGUGUUGAGGUGCAGCUGCCAUCACUCAAAUUGAGUCGUCCAAUAACAGCUGGCAGUCCUGGUGCACGUAAACUUGGUUUUGGUGUUUUCGUUUUGUCCGGAUUUCCGUAGUCUGCAAAGAAAUUCAUAAUGUGGAAUGAUCAAGUCAAAUAGUUAUCAUGGAUGUUUCACAAUGAAAAUGAACCUGAAUUUUGCACAGCUCCAAGUGGAGAUUCUAGUUGCACGGUUGAUGUUGGAGGUAUCUGGAUGCGGAGAUCUGUUUAAAAUGGAGAGAGUGUUGCAGGUUAGCAACAUCAAUUAGCAUGGCAACUACUGAUUGCGAGGCAAGAGUAAUUAAGUGAACG
This 553-nucleotide long non-coding RNA is filed under the name Triticum aestivum (bread wheat). RNAcentral's name for it is "long non-coding RNA (TAES_LNC025068)". Lineage: Eukaryota; Viridiplantae; Streptophyta; Magnoliopsida; Poales; Poaceae. The record is from RNAcentral.